CCGAACACUUGCCAGUAUGCCAACCAUUGCCAUGCCUCGAUCUUAACCUGUAAAAUUAUUUGUAGGGAUGAGUACUAUAAAUAAUACUCAGUAGGAAACACUUAAGUAAACGGUAAAAAUAUAUAUUUUCAGAAAUGCAAACUUUGGUCAAUUGUGUCACUGUCAAUUUCAAGCGAAUUGAUGAUCAGUCAGUCCGCUUACUCUUAGGUUUUGAUAACCCCAUUUCAUUUGUCAUAAUCAUCUCUUCAUCUCUUGUUUAAACCACUAAACGGUGAUUCCAUCAUGAGCAACACAAUAACACAUUUAAUGCAAACGAAAAUAUAUAAAUCUUACAUUACUUACAUAAGUGCCGAAACACCCCUACCUUAAUGCUUGGAAUUUGAAAUAUCCUUUCAUGUCCAAAGAAUAAAAUGCAGCGUACAUCUUGCCCUUUUCUUAGAAGUUUUCAGAUUCAAAGUUCUUUUUGUCUAUGAAAGAAGGGGCAAAAUAAUUUGAUGCAAUAAGGAUAAUAGGGAGAGAGAGAUAGUGGCCGUGUAGAAU
Molecule: long non-coding RNA, 540 nt
Filed under: Olea europaea (common olive)
Lineage: Eukaryota; Viridiplantae; Streptophyta; Magnoliopsida; Lamiales; Oleaceae
Description: long non-coding RNA (OEUR_LNC005285)
Source: RNAcentral